GACGAACGCCGGCGGCGUGCUUAACACAUGCAAGUCGAACGGAAAGGCCCUGCUUUUGUGGGGUGCUCGAGUGGCGAACGGGUGAGUAACACGUGAGUAACCUGCCCUUGACUUUGGGAUAACUUCAGGAAACUGGGGCUAAUACCGGAUAGGAGCUCCUGCUGCAUGGUGGGGGUUGGAAAGUUUCGGCGGUUGGGGAUGGACUCGCGGCUUAUCAGCUUGUUGGUGGGGUAGUGGCUUACCAAGGCUUUGACGGGUAGCCAGCCUGAGAGGGUGACCGGCCACAUUGGGACUGAGAUACGGCCCAGACUCCUACGGGAGGCAGCAGUGGGGAAUAUUGCACAAUGGGCGGAAGCCUGAUGCAGCAACGCCGCGUGCGGGAUGACGGCCUUCGGGUUGUAAACCGCUUUCGCCUGUGACGAAGCGUGAGUGACGGUAAUGGGUAAAGAAGCACCGGCUAACUACGUG
RNAcentral lists this ribosomal RNA (468 nucleotides) under uncultured bacterium. Its description in RNAcentral is "partial 16S ribosomal RNA". It matches the Rfam family "Bacterial small subunit ribosomal RNA", at positions 28 to 507 of the family's 1533-position model. The record is from RNAcentral.